GCCCGGAUGGUCUAGUGGUAUGAUUCUCGCUUGUAAGGAGACCUCGUCGCCAUUCCAUCAAUAUCAUCGAUACUAAUAAAUACUCUUAGUGGGCUAUAUAGUACCAAUCUGCGAGAGGCCCCGCGUUCGAACCGCGGUUCGGGCC
Molecule: non-coding RNA, 145 nt
Organism: Aspergillus pseudonomiae
Lineage: Eukaryota; Fungi; Ascomycota; Eurotiomycetes; Eurotiales; Aspergillaceae
Source: the annotation of a RefSeq genome assembly